RNAcentral lists this ribosomal RNA (119 nucleotides) under Candidatus Pelagibacter communis. The record is from RNAcentral. Lineage: Bacteria; Pseudomonadati; Pseudomonadota; Alphaproteobacteria; Candidatus Pelagibacterales; Candidatus Pelagibacteraceae. RNAcentral also lists the same sequence under 1 other name.
UCGCCGGUGAUUAUUGCGAAGGGGUUAUACCCGAUCCCAUUCCGAACUCGGAAGUCAAGCCCUUCAGCGCCAAUGGUACUUUGUCUUAAGACACGGAAGAGUAGGACAUUGCCGGCUAU